This 492-nucleotide ribosomal RNA is filed under the name uncultured bacterium. Its description in RNAcentral is "partial 16S ribosomal RNA". It matches the Rfam family "Bacterial small subunit ribosomal RNA", at positions 29 to 507 of the family's 1533-position model. The record is from RNAcentral.
AGUGAACGCUGGCGGUAGGCCUAACACAUGCAAGUCGAACGGCAGCACAGUAAGAGCUUGCUCUUACGGGUGGCGAGUGGCGGACGGGUGAGGAAUACAUCGGAAUCUACUUUUUCGUGGGGGAUAACGUAGGGAAACUUACGCUAAUACCGCAUACGACCUACGGGUGAAAGCAGGGGAUCUUCGGAACUUGCGCGAUUGAAUGAGCCGAUGUCGGAUUAGCUGGUUGGCGGGGUAAAGGCCCACCAAGGCGACGAUCCGUAGCUGGUCUGAGAGGAUGAUCAGCUACACUGGAACUGAGACACGUUCCAGACUCCUACAGGAGGCAGCAGUGGGGAAUAUGGGACAAGAGGCGCAAGCCUGAUCCAGCCAUACCGCGUGGGUGAAGAAGGCCUUCGGGUUGUAAAGCCCUUUUGUUGGGAAAGAAAAGCAGCAGGUGAAUACCCCGCUGUUCUGACGGUACCCAAAGAAUAAGCACCGGCUAACUUCGGG